RNAcentral lists this ribosomal RNA (500 nucleotides) under uncultured bacterium. Its description in RNAcentral is "partial 16S ribosomal RNA". It matches the Rfam family "Bacterial small subunit ribosomal RNA", at positions 30 to 523 of the family's 1533-position model. The record is from RNAcentral.
AUUGAACGCUGGCGGCAUGCCUUACACAUGCAAGUCGAACGGCAGCACGGGAGCAAUCCUGGCGGCGAGUGGCGAACGGGUGAGUAAAGUAUCGGGACGUGCCCAGUCGUGGGGGAUAACGUAGCGAAAGUUACGCUAAUACCGCAUACGAUCUAUGGAUGAAAGCGGGGGAACGCAAGACCUCGCGCGAUUGGAGCGGCCGAUAUCAGAUUAGGAAGUUGGUGGGGUAAAGGCUCACCAAGCCGACGAUCUGUAGCUGGUCUGAGAGGACGACCAGCCACACUGGGACUGAGACACGGCCCAGACUCCUACGGGAGGCAGCAGUGGGGAAUUUUGGACAAUGGGCGCAAGCCUGAUCCAGCCAUGCCGCGUGCAGGAUGAAGGCCUUCGGGUUGUAAACUGCUUUUGUACGGAACGAAAAGGUUUGACUUAAUACGUUAGACUCAUGACGGUACCGUAAGAAUAAGCACCGGCUAACUACGUGCCAGCCGCCGCCGUAA